RNAcentral lists this microRNA precursor (94 nucleotides) under Marmota monax (woodchuck). Lineage: Eukaryota; Metazoa; Chordata; Mammalia; Rodentia; Sciuridae. The record is from RNAcentral.
AGUGGAAUAGCUGGGUCAAAUGGUGGUUCCAUUCCAAGGACUUUCCGUACCACUUUCCAUAAUGGUUGUACCAAUUUGCAGUCCCAACAGCAAU